GUCAUUAUAGUUUAACAAAAAUAUUAGAAUGUGAGCCUAAAAAUAGAAGUUCAACUCUUCUUAAUGACC
Molecule: transfer RNA, 69 nt
Filed under: Pseudemoia rawlinsoni
Lineage: Eukaryota; Metazoa; Chordata; Lepidosauria; Squamata; Scincidae
Description: tRNA-His
Rfam family: tRNA
About the family: Transfer RNA (tRNA) molecules are approximately 80 nucleotides in length. Their secondary structure includes four short double-helical elements and three loops (D, anti-codon, and T loops).
Source: RNAcentral